This is a non-coding RNA of Peromyscus maniculatus bairdii (prairie deer mouse), 1294 nucleotides long. The record is from RefSeq and is a predicted model, not a curated record. NCBI's taxonomy places the organism in Eukaryota, Metazoa, Chordata, Mammalia, Rodentia, Cricetidae.
GGUUAACUUCGACUGGAUGCUUUGAUGCUUCUGAGAGGCAGGUAUGAGUCAUCACAUCAACAAAGAAAACAGAAACAGGACAUUAGUACCUACAGAAGCACAGCUAAAAUAUGAAGUCUGAUGAGUCACUUUGUAUAAAUUCCUUCCUUCUGCGUGUUGACAGAAUCCUGAGCUGCGUUUAACAAACAGAAACCGGGCAGGGAGGGAACUAGCUGCCCCUUGCUCUUAUUGCUAGACCCCAUCGGAGCCAACUGGAGAGAAGUGUCUCUUUCUGGCUUUGAAAUAGACAGUCUUCUCUGGUGAUAACACACUGAGGAAAUCUUCCUGAAGCUGGAGGAUCACUUUCACUGGAGCACCCUUUGAAUUGCUCCUACGACACAUUCCCUUCCUUUACAUCCUUUCAUUCCCGACAGACUUGGAGCCCAUGACAAGGUCCCACCCAGUGCCCCGCUACGGGAUUCUACACUCUCUAGAACUUUCUGGAGCCGGGCUGCCUCCCUAAACUCCGUGUGGUCCGAAUUCCGGUAAACAACGAAGGGCAUGUACGCACUUGUGAGCCUCCGAAGGUUAUGCCCCGUGCUUUCUCUUGGUGGGAAGCCCAGGGGGCUGGCCCCAUUUCAACCUCCAGCUCUUACUUUUACGACGAUGAUGAUGAUCACAGCCGUCUCCCUGGCGUCCCCGUGGGCACCCUGAGGCAGCCAGCCUGGGUGCUCUCCCGUUCCUAUGCUUUUCAUUUGAAAAAACAUGCAGGGGCACAUAGGCUUGGUCAAGAUAAUUAUAAAAGAAGAAGUUUUGAAUUUAAUUAAAUGCUCUCUAAUAAUCACACAGUUAGUUCAUUCGCAUAGUGUAUUGCAGCAUGCGAGAGGCGUUCCCCGUGCACUGUGCGGCGCAGGGUUUAGAUGCGAGGCCUGCUUCCAUGAGCACGUUGGUUCAGGCAGGGCCUUUCUUCAGCUUCCGUUAAAGUGGGACAGGCACUGAAUAUUGACUGUCGACUCUUACGGAUGCCAUCCCAUUUUUACGCUUCUCGUCUUUCCUUAAUCCAGUGCUCCUCCAAACCCCUUCUAGGUCUUUUAUAGCCUGUUAUUUCAGCCGGAGUUAGGAUUCAUGGUCAUGUACUUGUUAACUCCCUUAAUGAAGAGAUGCAUUGUUAUUGAUCUGUACAGAGUAUUCUUCAGUCUGGACUUGCCAACUUUCAGUGUAAGAGCAACGUGCAGGUGGGCUGGCUUCUCUUCUCAGAAACACCCUGUACCUCCAACAGAGCCUCACCCCACGAUGCACACACACGUGCAAAGGA